RNAcentral lists this ribosomal RNA (253 nucleotides) under uncultured bacterium. RNAcentral's name for it is "partial 16S ribosomal RNA". It matches the Rfam family "Bacterial small subunit ribosomal RNA", at positions 524 to 776 of the family's 1533-position model. The record is from RNAcentral.
UACGGGGGGAGCAAGCGUUGUUCGGAUUUACUGGGCGUAAAGGGCGCGUAGGUGGCCAACUUAGUCGGACGUGAAAUCCCUCGGCUUAACCGGGGAACUGCAUCCGAUACUGGAUGGCUUGAGUUCGGGAGAGGGAUGCGGAAUUCCAGGUGUAGCGGUGAAAUGCGUAGAUAUCUGGAGGAACACCGGUGGCGAAGGCGGCAUCCUGGACCGACACUGACGCUGAGGAGCGAAAGCCAGGGGAGCAAACGGG